UGACUACCGGCGGCGUAGGAGGAACCACGGGCAUUAUUGGAGCAGCAGGAGGAGGGGGAGCAGCGGCAGGUGGGGCAGUGACAGGAACUGGGGGUAAUAAUUCGACUUCCUCCUGAGGCAUCUGAGCAACCUUCUGCAGAAAUAUCUUCUCAAGGGCUUGGGCCAUAAGGACGAUGUCAUCUGUGGGCUGCAGGAAGAAGACAAGCCUGAGCUGUGUCAUCCACACAUCAGAAGGAAAAGUCCAGAAUGUAAGAAUCACAGCCUUUAAAUGCACUGCAUCCAGAGAACAUCAGGACUUCCAGCAGAAGCCCGAUAACUAGCAUCAGUGUGGAAGCAGAAAACUGGAACAGAUGAGCCAUCCUCCCUGCUUGCCAACAGGCAAGGCACACUAGGACAGAAAAGGCAAUCCUGCUGGUUACUGGGCUUGUGCAGAUCUGAUUUAGACCACACGUGAAAAACAAUUACUCUUCCAACUGACUCCUCCUUCCAAUUCUCUGGUAAGCUGCCCUAAAACCACUUCAAAACACCUCGCUGAGAAACAAAAUCCACAAAAAGAUGACACAAAAGAGCAAAGACCUGGUGAAAUCUUACACACGUGUUAAGUGUUUCACUCUUUUGCCAAGCACUUUAAAUAGUGCUACCCAUCAUCAGGAUUACCGAGUUCAGAAGACUCCUGACCCGGUCCACAAAAUUAGGUCAUAACCUCAUGUAACUAGAGCUCUGCAGAUUUCACAUCCCAGAGCCUUGCUCCCUUGAAUGCUACAUGCAAUCCUCCUGUUCAAAGCAGUCAGAGUAAAUUUGCAAUGGCCUGCCUGGAGGGACGGACAGCAGGGCAGCUGGGGGGCCUGUGUUUGAUUUGACAGGUGGGAAGGGGCUUGCCUCCACUGCUGAGAUUUUUACAUCCACAGGACCACUUUGAAGAGGUAAAUGUUGAGUGGUUCUGUUCACUGGAAGAAAGCUUAUCAGAAAACUUUGUUCAUUCAUGAAUAACCUGGCUGUCUCGUACUCUCUGAUCUGACAGAGACAGGAUAUACAUAAUCAAGUCCAGGAGGCAAACAGAUAAAUGCAAAUGUUCUGUUAUCUGUGCCUCCAGUAUGGCAUUUGAAGCUAUUUUGCUUCAAAGUAUUAGCAUCUCCCUCAACACUGAAGUCAACAGCAAAUUGAGGAAAGUCUAGAGGAAGCACUAAUGACACUGAGCCCAGUCAAACGCACUGCAGAGAAUGGACUUUCAGUCUGUCACUCAGACCGGACAGAAGUGGGACAAGGAGUGAGAGGAUGUAAGUGCAGGUAAGCCACAGGUGAAGCACUGUGCUUCAGUUACUGUAAGGCAGCUUGCCUGUGCAUUGUUCUCCUCCCUCACUAAGUGAAAGAGUGGUUUUCUCCUUCAGAGACCUGCACCUCUCCAGCUCUGAAAAACAAUCUUUAAGUUGGGUGAGUCUGAGACUAUUCAAGGUAAUCACCAAAAGCAACCUGAACCAACGAUCAGAAAACUGAUCUAAUUAACACACAGCUUUCCAAGAACACAGUACAGAGAAGAUGACGGA
Meleagris gallopavo (turkey) is the source of this 1544-nucleotide non-coding RNA. Lineage: Eukaryota; Metazoa; Chordata; Aves; Galliformes; Phasianidae. The record is from RefSeq and is a predicted model, not a curated record.